Molecule: small nuclear RNA, 113 nt
Gene: U5
Rfam family: U5 spliceosomal RNA
About the family: U5 RNA is a component of both types of known spliceosome. The precise function of this molecule is unknown, though it is known that the 5' loop is required for splice site selection and p220 binding, and that both the 3' stem-loop and the Sm site are important for Sm protein binding and cap methylation.
Source: Ensembl
UAGCUCAGGUUUCUCUUCAUUCACGCAGAAAUCUUUCACCUUUUACUAAAGAUAUCUGUGGAGAAGAACAUUGAUGAGUUCAACUUAUUUCUAUGGCCUUUGCUAUCGCGGGU